GCUGGGUGGGGUGGUACACACCUGUAAUCCCAGUGACUCAGGAGGCUGAGGCAGGAGGAUCACAAGUUGAAAGCCAGCCUCAGCAAAAAUUGAGGCACUUAGCAACUCAGUGAGACCCUGUCUCUA
Molecule: small RNA, 126 nt
Filed under: Marmota monax (woodchuck)
Lineage: Eukaryota; Metazoa; Chordata; Mammalia; Rodentia; Sciuridae
Source: RNAcentral